GAUCAACGCUGGCGGCGUGCCUAAUGCAUGCAAGUCGGACGCGGCCUCCUUCGGGGGGUUGGCGUGGCGGACGGGUGAGGAACACGUGGGGAACCUGCCCUGGGGUGGGGGGUAGCCAUCGGAAACGGUGGGUAAUUCCGCAUGCGCUCGCGCCUCAGUCGGGGUGCGAGGAAAGCCGCAAGGCGCCCUGGGAUGGUCCUGCGUCCGAUUAGCUGGUUGGUGGGGUCACGGCCCACCAAGGCGANGAUCGGUCGCUGGUCUGAGAGGACGGCCAGCCACACGGGGACUGAGACACCGGCCCCGACUCCUACGGGAGGCAGCAGCAAGG
Molecule: ribosomal RNA, 328 nt
Filed under: uncultured bacterium
Lineage: Bacteria
Description: bacterial SSU rRNA
Rfam family: Bacterial small subunit ribosomal RNA
Source: RNAcentral